RNAcentral lists this ribosomal RNA (384 nucleotides) under uncultured bacterium. RNAcentral describes it as "bacterial SSU rRNA". It matches the Rfam family "Bacterial small subunit ribosomal RNA", at positions 43 to 388 of the family's 1533-position model. The record is from RNAcentral.
GGCCGCGGGAAUUGGAUUCAGGCCUAACACAUGCAAGUCGAACGGGGCGGCCAUGACGGAGUUUUCGGACAACUGAUUGGUUUGCUUAGUGGCGGACGGGUGAGUAACGCGUGAGGAACCUGCCUUGGAGUGGGGAAUAACGACAGAGAAAUUUGUGCUAAUACCGCAUAAUGCAAUUGAGUCGCAUGGCUCUGAUUGCCAAAGAUUUUAUCGCUCUAAGAUGGCCUCGCGUCUGAUUAGGUAGUUGGUGGGGUAACGGCCCACCAAGGCGACGAUCAGUAGCCGGACUGAGAGGUUGACCGGCCACAUUGGGACUGAGACACGGCCCAGACUCCUACGGGAGGCAGCAGUGGGGAAUAUUGGGCAAGGGGCGCAAGCCUGACC